UACGUAGGGUGCAAGCGUUAAUCGGAAUUACUGGGCGUAAAGCGUGCGUAGACGGUCAAGUAAGUCGGGUGUGAAAUCCCCGGGCUCAACCUGGGAACUGCAUCUGUGACUGCAUCGCUGGAGUGCGGCAGAGGGGGAUGGAAUUCCGCGUGUAGCAGUGAAAUGCGUAGAUAUGCGGAGGAACACCGAUGGCGAAGGCAAUCCCCUGGGCCUGCACUGACGCUCAUGCACGAAAGCGUGGGGAGCAAACAGG
RNAcentral lists this ribosomal RNA (253 nucleotides) under uncultured bacterium. RNAcentral describes it as "partial 16S ribosomal RNA". It matches the Rfam family "Bacterial small subunit ribosomal RNA", at positions 524 to 776 of the family's 1533-position model. The record is from RNAcentral.